Molecule: ribosomal RNA, 301 nt
Filed under: uncultured bacterium
Lineage: Bacteria
Description: partial 16S ribosomal RNA
Rfam family: Bacterial small subunit ribosomal RNA
Source: RNAcentral
CAGCAGCCGCGGUAAUACGUAGGUGGCAAGCGUUGUCCGGAAUUAUUGGGCGUAAAGGGCUCGCAGGCGGUUUCUUAAGUCUGAUGUGAAAGCCCCCGGCUCAACCGGGGAGGGUCAUUGGAAACUGGGAAACUUGAGUGCAGAAGAGGAGAGUGGAAUUCCACGUGUAGCGGUGAAAUGCGUAGAGAUGUGGAGGAGCACCAGUGGCGAAGGCGACUCUCUGGUCUGUAACUGACGCUGAGGAGCGAAAGCGUGGGGAGCGAACAGGAUUAGAUACCCGCGUAGUCCCUGUCUCUUAUAC